GACGAACGCUGGCGGCGUGCCUAACACAUGCAAGUCGAGCGAUGAAGCUUCUUCGGAAGUGGAUUAGCGGCGGACGGGUGAGUAACACGUGGGUAACCUGCCUCAUAGUGGGGAAUAGCCUUUCGAAAGGAAGAUUAAUACCGCAUAAGAUUGUAGCUUCGCAUGAAGUAGCAAUUAAAGGAUUUAUUCGCUAUGAGAUGGACCCGCGGCGCAUUAGCUAGUUGGUGAGGUAACGGCCACCAAGGCGACGAUGCGUAGCCGACCUGAGAGGUGAUCGGCCACAUUGGAACUGAGACAGGUCCAGACUCCUACGGGAGGCAGCAGUGGGAAUAUUGCACAAUGGGGGAAACCCUGAUGCAGCAACGCCGCGUGAGUGAUGACGGUCUUCGGAUUGUAAAGCUCUGUCUUUAGGGACG
RNAcentral lists this ribosomal RNA (416 nucleotides) under uncultured bacterium. RNAcentral describes it as "bacterial SSU rRNA". It matches the Rfam family "Bacterial small subunit ribosomal RNA", at positions 28 to 447 of the family's 1533-position model. The record is from RNAcentral.